GUGGGGAAUUUUGGACAAUGGGCGCAAGCCUGAUCCAGCAAUGCCGCGUGCAGGAAGAAGGCCUUCGGGUUGUAAACUGCUUUUGUACGGAACGAAACGGUCCGGGUUAAUACCCUGGACUAAUGACGGUACCGUAAGAAUAAGCACCGGCUAACUACGUGCCAGCAGCCGCGGUAAUACGUAGGGUGCAAGCGUUAAUCGGAAUUACUGGGCGUAAAGCGUGCGCAGGCGGUUUUGUAAGACAGGCGUGAAAUCCCCGGGCUCAACCUGGGAAUUGCGCUUGUGACUGCAAGGCUGGAGUGCGGCAGAGGGGGAUGGAAUUCCGCGUGUAGCAGUGAAAUGCGUAGAUAUGCGGAGGAACACCGAUGGCGAAGGCAAUCCCCUGGGCCUGCACUGACGCUCAUGCACGAAAGCGUGGGGAGCAAACAGGAUUAGAAACCCUAGUAGUCC
This 450-nucleotide ribosomal RNA is filed under the name uncultured bacterium. RNAcentral's name for it is "partial 16S ribosomal RNA". It matches the Rfam family "Bacterial small subunit ribosomal RNA", at positions 354 to 796 of the family's 1533-position model. The record is from RNAcentral.